Molecule: long non-coding RNA, 12100 nt
Filed under: Citrus maxima (pomelo)
Lineage: Eukaryota; Viridiplantae; Streptophyta; Magnoliopsida; Sapindales; Rutaceae
Description: long non-coding RNA (CMAX_LNC002972)
Source: RNAcentral
ACAUGAGGAAUUUGGUUUACUUGCAGGCCAUUAUCAAGGAAACAAUGCGUUUAUACCCUGCUGGACCACUUUUACUACCUCACGAGUCUAUAGAAGAAUGCAUCGUCAAUGGUUACCACGUCCCUGCAGGCACCCAACUGUUUGUUAACGCCUGGAAGAUUCAACGCGAUCCAUGUGUUUGGGAGGAGCCAUGUCAAUUUCAGCCAGAAAGAUUUCUUACUAGGCAUAAGGAUAUUGAUGUUGGGGGACAAGAUUUUGAAUUGAUACCAUUUGGGAGUGGAAGAAGAAUGUGUCCUGCAGUGUCACUAGGCCUUCAAGUUAUGCAACUAACGCUUGCUUCAUUAGUGCAUGGGUUUGAUUUUACAACCCCAUCAGAUGAACCGGUUGACAUGGGAGAGGCAAUGGGCCUAACCAUUGCUAAGGCUACUCCGCUUGAAGUGCUUGUUAGUCCACGCCUUUCUGCUUCUUUAUAUGGUUAAAAUUAGCUUGUGUACUUGUUAAUGCAAAUGAUUAAGUUGUACUUGUCAACAACUUAGUGAUAAGGUGCGUUUAUAUCAUUGGGUGUCAUCACUGUGCGUUUAGCACACUGCAUUAAAGGUGAGUUUGGCAUAUUACACUACAUUGUAUUAUUUAACGUUUAGUAAGUUGUUAUUGACUGUAUUAUAUUAACAUUAUAUAUAUUAUGUUAAUAGUGUAUAAUAUUUGGUAUUGUUUUGUACUUUAUUAAUUUUUAUGUAUCCUAUAUUUUGUGUUGCAUUGCAUUGCAUUAUAUUAAUUAUGUAUCCUAUAUUUUGGUUGCAUUGCAUUGCAUUAUAUUAAUUCUUUUGGUGAAAAUUUUAAAUUACAAGUUGGGAAAAAAUUAAUUAGUACUUAGAAAAAUGAUAAAAUAGAUGUUUUGAAUUUUAUAUUUUUUACAUAAAUUAUUUUUAGUAUAAGUGUAAAACAUAUCAUAAUUCUUUUGAACAUAUGUAAAAUUAAGAAAUUCUAAAAUUUUUGGUGUGUGUGUGUGUAUGAGCAGUUCUCAAAUAUUUAUCUUGUGAAAUAAAGAUCCAAGAAAAUAAUUCAAUCAAAUAACCUUUAAAAAUUAUCAUAACAUAAAUAAAUAGAUAAAGCCAUCUCAUAAUAAAGAUCACAACAACAAAAAUUUACAAAUACCACAACAUACUAGAACCCUAAUCACUUAUGAGAAUGAGGUGAAAUGGGAAUGGGGAACGGGAAUCAUGAUAUAUUGUUUAUUUGAGACAAGAAUCGGAAUCGCAAUGGGUUGAAAUCUCAUUGAUAUGUUUACAUUUUCUCUUGGAAUCAGAAUCAUAAUAAGUUGAAUUGUUUCAAGUUACUAAAGUACCCUUAGUUAAUUAUAAUAAUAACUAUUAUUAUUAUUAUUAUGAUAAUGAUUAUUAUUAUUAAUAAUAAACUUUUGUUAAUAUAUUAAUUAAUUAUAUUCAUAUGUUGUUAGUAUAUUAAUUAAUUAUAAUUUAUCAUUAAUAAUAAUAAUAAUAAUAAUAAUAAUAAUAAUAAUAAUAAUAAUAAUAAUCAAAAUAAAAAAUCAUCAUCAUCAACAAAAUAAUCCAUUUCCAAAAUAAUAAUAAUAAUAAUAAUAAUAAUAAUCAUCAAAUUAAUCCAUUUCCCAAAUAAUCAUUGUCAACAAAAAUAAUCCAUUUCCCAAAAACAAAUUAUAGCAAUAAUCAAAAUCGAAAUUGUCAUCGUCAUCAACAACAACGGCAACAACAAUCAUCGUCGUUAGCAGCAGCAACAUCAUCAGAUCAGAACUGUCGCCAUUAGAGACGAAAUCUGAGAUGAAAUGAGAUGGGGGCGAAAUCGAGACAACGACGAAAUUGACACGGCCCAACGGAUAUGAAAGGGGUGGGUGUUUGGAUCGGGUUGACCCGAUCCAAACCAAACUCGAAAUUAAUUUCGAGUUCGGUUCGGUUCGAGUUGAAACUUACAACUCGUUUGGGUUAAAAAUCUAAACCUGAUCGGGUUGUAUUUCGGUUCGGGUUUAACCCGAACCGAAUAAUCAACCUGAUUGGGUCAAAAAAAUUAAAAAAACAAAGUUUAAAACCCGAAUCGAAAUACAACCCGAUUGUGUCAAAAAAAUUAAAAAAAAAAGUUUAAAAACAUAAAUAUAAACCUAACCCUAACCUAACAACUCCCAAACACACACUUCUCACUUUCUGAGCCGCCACUUGACUUCUCCGCUUCUUCUUCUUCUUUUCCUUUUCUUCCUCCACUGACAAAUAUCAUCUUCUUCUUUUCUUUUUCUUCUUCAUUUCUUCUUCUUCUUUCCUUACACGCUGCCAGACAUCUUCUUCUUCUUCUUCUUUCCUUCGGUUGCUGCCAAGCAUCUUUUUCUUCUUCUUAUUCUUAUUUUCUUCCUCCAUUGCCAAAUAAUUCUUCUGCUUUUUUUUUUAUCUCCAUUAAUUAAUUGUUUAAUAAUUUAUUUUUUAAUUGUUAGUUAAUUUCUUAGUUUUCUUUUGUUAAUUUUUUUUGUUAAAUGUUAAAUUUAGAAUUCUAUACAUUAAUCAGUUAAUUUUUAAAUAAGAUUAUAGGAAAUUUGUGUGAUAUUUAGUUAAUUUUUUCUGUUUUUGGAUGAGAUAAAAUUAUGGUUACAUAAUAUAAACGAACUCGAAUUUAUAACCCAAACCGAACCAAAUCGAAUUAAAUUCGGUUUGGUUUGGUUCGGGUUUGUAGUUUGAACCCGAUUGAGUUAAAUCUUCCAAACCGAAUGGGUUGAAACCCAAACCGAAACCCGAACAAGCUGAACUGAAAUCCGAUUUGCCCACCCCUAUAUGUAUGAAUGGCAAAAGGUCGGGUCGGGCUCGGGCUUGGCCAAGCCUUACCCGACCCGAUCAAAAAAAUUUAAAACCCAACCCUAAAAAAACUCGAAUAUUAUUUAGUUAGGGUCGGGCCCGGCUAGGGAUGGUAAUUUUUCCCGUUGGGAUGGGAUCCUGCGGGAUCCCGUCCCGUUUAGGAUGGGAUUGAGACAUAUUUUUUCAUCCCAAAUUAAAAUGGGAUGGGAUAAGGAUAAAAAUAAAUCCCGCUUUUAUUUAUGGGACGGGAGGAGGACCAAUUAUAAAAUCCCAUCUUAUCCUGUAUAUCCCGUUAAUAUUAUAAUUUAAAAUAAAAAGUGAAAAAGUCACAAAUAAAAUUAAUAAUUUAUAGCAAUAAUUACCCUUAAAAACUCAACCAAUUUCCUAAAUUAACACUGCACCCUAAGUGUUGACCGCCCAACGCCCCUUGCCCUCACCACAAAAAUUUUUACUCCGCCACAAAAGUUCCCAAGCAGCCACCCACGACUUGCCCACUACGCCUCUACUAGCAAUUCAUCCACAAAAUUCUCGCUUUUCAGCCUCCACACCGUAAGUUAACAUUCAUAAUUUGGCUUUUUUUGUUUUUAUUGUUCACAGUUUUGUGCUCUUUUCAUAUAAUUGAUAUUUGUUAAAUAUUAUUAUAUUAUAUACGGCAAUCUAGUUGAAGUUGUUAUAUUAUAAUGAUUAUUAUAUUUGUUUAAGUAGUAUUGAGUUUUAAAAUAAAAGUUCUUGUGGUCCCAUAUUAUUAUUACUUUUGUUUUAUAUGGUUUGAUGUUUGUAAAAGGUUAAUUUAUAUUUAAUUCAUUUAUUUGAGUUGUGGAUUGUUGUUUUCUUUUUGCUUUAAAGGAUGGCUUCUCCUCCAGUAGUGGACAAUGAAAGUUUAGAUAAUGAUGAUGUGCAUGUUGUUGAAGAAAACGCCAAAGACAAUGAUUUAACAUCAAGAUUAAGAUCAGUGGUCUGGAAACAUUUUGAAAGAAGAUAAAAAAUGGAAAAAUAAGAGCCUUUUGUAAGCACUGCAAUAAAGACUAUGUUGGAGGUCCUAGAGAUGGAACAAGACACUUGAACGAUCACAUGAAAAUAUGCCCUCGGCGUAAUCAAAUUGAGAUAACACAUUAUUCAAAGAAGUUAAAAACAGUUGAGGAUGAUCAGGGAAAUGUGAAGGUAGAGACUUAUUCUUUGAUCCUGAUGUCACUAGGGGAUUGAUUGCACGUAUGAUCAUUAUGCAUGAGUACCCAUUAAGUUGCGUUGAGCAUGAAUGGUUUAGAAAAGUGUUGUCUUCUUUAAACCCAAUGUGGAAAAACGUAUCUCGCAAUACUAUAAAAAGUGAUAUUAUGGAGCCAUAUGAGAUGGAAAAGGUUAAGGUUGUGAGUUUAAUAGAGAGUAACAGUAGUAAAGUUGCAAUCACAACCGACAUGUGGACUUGUGGCUCCCAAACAAAAGGGUACAUGGCUAUUACAACACCUUUAUUGAUGAUUCUUGGACCUUACGGAGUCAAAUUUUGAGGUACUAUGUUUAAUUCUAAUUAACAUUGAAAUAUUUAGUGCAUUAUAUUUAUUUAUUGAAUAUAUUUGUAAUUAAUUGUAUUUUUUCUAUGUAGGUUUAUUCAUGUGCAAGCUCGACAUACUUCUCAAGUACUUUGUGAUAUACUAUUGAGAUGUUUAAUGGAUCUUAAUCUUGAGCGUAAGUUAUCUGCAUUAACUGUUGAUAAUUGCACUACUAAUGAUCGAAUGAUUCAACUUCUACUAGAUAAACUUGAUAAAAAUGAUUUUCUUAUGGGUGGCAAGUUGUUUCAUAUGCGAUGUACUGCUCACAUUUUAAAUUUGAUUGUCAAAGAGGGGUUAAGUGUUAUUAGUGAUGGUGUUGCUAAAAUUCGUGCUAGUGUUGCAUUUUGGACAGUUACCCCUCAAAGAAGGGAAAAAAUUAAAGAGAUUUCUCGUAGGUUGAAUAUUCCAUGUAGUAAGGAGUUAGUUCUUGAUUGCAUCACUAGAUGGAACUCUACUUAUCUCAUGAUUUCUGUUGCCUUGGAGUAUAAAAAUGUCUUUUAUAGAUUGCAUCAAUUGGAGGCACAAUAUAGGUGUUUGCCAAGUGAAAGUGAAUGGGAGUUAGCUCGUAUAUUGUCAAAUAAUUUGAAAUCAUUUUAUAAUGUGACUGAGGUAUUUUCUGGAACUAAGUACCCCACAUCCAAUUUGUUUUUCAUUCAUAUUUGUGAGAUUAGAUUAUCAUUAGGUAGUUGGCUUACAUGUGAGCAUGAUGAAGUUAGACAAAUGGCAACUAACAUGAUUGGCAAAUUUGAAAAAUAUUGGAAAGAUGUUAAUGGGGUAUUAACCGUGGCAACAAUGUUGGAUCCUAGAUAUAAAAUGAAAUUGAUUGAGUUCUACUUUCCAUUGUUAUAUGGUGAUGAAUCAAAUAUUCAUAUUGAGAGAGUUCAUAUGCUUUUAAAGGAAUUAAUAAAGAAGUAUGAAUUUAAGGCCAAAUUAUCUGUAAGCGGUCCUAGCGCGGGUGCUUUUAGUUCUAGUAUAGGAGAGUCCUCAGUCGUUAUGUCUCAUGUUGAGGAACAACUUUCAAGUAGGUAUGAUGAUUUUUUGAAAGUCAAUAUGGUUGAGAACCGUAAGACUGAGCUUGAGUCAUAUUUAAGUGAAUAUGUGUUGAUUAUCAAGGACAAAAAUUUUGAUAUUUUGGGGUGGUGGAAAAUAAAUGCAAUACAAUAUCCUUUGUUAUCUACUAUUGCUAGUGAUAUACUAGCAAUCCCAGUGUCAACAGUUGCUUUUGAGUCAGCUUUUAGCACAUGUGGUAGAGUAGUUAGCCCACAUCGUAAUAGACUACACUCACAAACAGUGGAGGCAUUGAUGUGCACUCAAAGUUGGUUGAAUGCUUACACAAGAGGUAAUUUAUUUUAUUGUAAUUUAUGCAUAUUUUAAAUGUUCAAACUUUUUUUAUUUUCUUUUCUAGUUUUUAAUUUUUUUUUUUUUUUGUUUUCUAAGACAAUGGGCAUACAACUUCUAGUGAAAAUCCUACAUUUGCAGAUGAAGAAAAAGUUGAUGCAGAGAUUGAAGAGGUAACUGAUUUUAUUAAUUUUGAACAUUAAUGAUUAAUUAUUAUGUAAUUAUCAAAAUAUUAGUCUUACUCUAACCUCUCUUUAUUAAAUUCCUGUAGGUUUAUACAGAAAUUUGAAAGUGCGGUCUUGAAAGUGUGGUUAGAGUAUGAAGUUUUCUUGUCUAAUGAAGUGGGAACUGGAAUUGAAGUCAACUUUUGGAAGAUUAUGUUAAUUUUUAACUUUUGCUUGAACUUUGGAACUUAGAUUGAUUUGGAUUAGCUUCAGAACUUUGAAUUUUUUGUUUCUUUAUUUGCUAUAUAUUGAUUUAUGACGAUCCUUAAAAGAAAAAAAUUAAAAUUUAUUUAUUUACAUUUGGGACUAUUUAAGAUAAUGGGAUGGGACGGGAUAUUUAAUGGGACAUGAUUGGAAUAAAUUUUUGUCCCAAAAAAAAUAAAGGGACGGGAAUGUGACUUUUUUUAGUCCCAAAUCAAUAUACGGGACAGGACUGGGAUUGACAAAUCCCGUCCCAUCCCAUCCCAUUGCCAACCCUAGGCCCGGCCCAACCCAACCCGAAUCGUUUCAACAUCGGGUCGGGCCCAACCCGACCCUACCGAAAUAGUUAACCCUCCCAUUUCCCACCACCAUUUCAACAAAUUCGGCAAUUUCUCAACCAUUUCAAACACAAUUCAAUUCCACUUUCCACAACCAUUUCAACCCCACACACAAAUCAAUUCCAAAAUCCAACAUGAAAAACACACAAUGUAAUUCCACAACCAUUUUAGCCAUACACAAUUCAAUUUAACAAUCCAACAUAAAAAAUAAAAAAUAAAAAACUCAUGUCUUAUACAAAUAAAAACACACAAUUUAGUUCCACAACCCAACAUUAAAAAAAAUGUAUUAUACAAAUAAAAAAAACUCAUGUCUUAUACAAAUAAAAACUCAUAAUUCAUAAAAACACACAAUUUAGUUUUUUUUUAAUAGGGUCGGGUCAGGUCAGCUUUAAGCCCGACUCUGACCCGAAAUUUGUUCGGGCCUUAAACUUUUGACCAUAACCCGACCCUAACCUCAAAAAUUCGGGUCAAAUCCCUAAAAAUUAGAGCAGGUCGAUCGGCCCAAAAAUAAGGUCGGGCUAAAUUGCCAAGCCUACCUACAUAAAACUGGCAACCAGCAGCUGUCCACAGCCGAUGGACCACGAUGGCAAAGAUGGUGAUGGCCGUGAUGGCGAUGGAAGCACUCCAAUGGCAUUCGAUUGGGAGGCACAGGCAAGAGAGUUUAAGUUUUAGGGAUUUUUUUAUUUUUCGCUUUUUAUAUUUUUUUAAUCUAAAGCGGGGGUAUUUUUGGAAUAAUAAAAAAUUAAUGCGGGUAAAAUGGAAAAUGUUGGGAAUGGGAAUCAGAUUCCUAUACUUAUUCUCAAAUUGCUGUGGGAUCCACCAAAAUGAAUCUCAUUUCGGAUUCUUUCCUAGUCCAUUUUUUUUCUCUCUUAAUCUCUCUCAGUAUUUCAAUUCUAGUUUUAAAAAAAAUUGACUUAAUGGUAAACAAAGUGAAACAAGUCUGCCUAAAUUAUUAACAUUAAAAUUCAAAAAAUUCAAGAGUCAAGACUACUCAUUUUAGAGGCUAGUAGAGAAAAAAGAUUUGAAGAGGAUUCACGUUCAAAAAUAUAAAUGAUACAUCAUACAAGAUCCUUAAACAUUAUAUGAUAUGUCAUUACAUUUAUAAAUGAAGAGUCAUUCAAUUUUCACUAUGGAGUAAAGAUUAUACAAAAUGUUAUCUGCCAUAAAACUAUAAACGACAUAUAUGAAUUUCAGACAAGUAAUUUUACUCCAAGUAAGAAUCAACAACAUUUUACCUAUUUAGUAUCUUAAUUUCUUUUGAAUUCCAACUGAAGUAACAUUUAUUUAUUAAAUGGUAAAUUAAAAAUUUCAUGAGUUAUGAAGUUCAUCAUAAUGAGUCAUAUAAUAUUGAGAGUCAAGUUGAAACUCAAAGAUUAAAACUCCUAAAUUAGCUAACAUAAAAUUUAGAAACUCAUUAAAUAUGUAUAAAUGUUUAUAAUUAACUUAUUUUGCAGCUAAUUUUUCCAACUUAAAAACAUGUUAAUUCCAAAGGUCCCUUAAGAUGAAGAUUCCUAAUUUCACCUUAACCUUGGUAUGACAAUAAGCUUGACUUGAUAACCUUAAAAGGGUAAACUAGAGCCUAUAAAACUUAAUGGAACAAGUGUGAAAUACCUUCUCAAUAUACUGAAAUGAAUUUCCUACCACUACAAAAUUUUAUAAUUCUCAUUGAAAUUAAAAAUCCCAAAAAUUUAACAAUAAUUCUUAAGACUUUGAAAACGAAUGAGCGGGAAACACUGAAACUUCAUACACAAAAUUCAAGUGCUUGUAGGUAUCUAAAAGUAUAAUAGCAGAUUAAGAAUGGAAUAGACUUCAUGGGCGAACUGGAACUCCGGUGGCUGGGCGUGGCGCUUGACCAGGCUGACCAGGCUUUGGCAAAUCAUCCUGAAAGAAAAGGAAAAAAAGAAAAAGAAAACAAAAUAUAAGAGCCAAUGAAGAAAAUUUUCAAGUACGCGAGCACAAACGAAGACCAUAUAAAACUGACAAGCUUAACCAUUUUUCAAAUGCUACAGAAAUCACACAGCAACUAUCCCAAGACCAAAAACAUCCUCAAUUUGGGCUUUUACCACACAGAGACAUAACACUGUCUCCUUUUUUUCCCUUCCCCCCGCCCCCUCCCUCCCUCCCUCUUAGGCUAACCCAGAAGUAAGCUUUUUUAACAGGCUGAAUGAGGAUAUUACUACUGGCAAGGAAAUCCUUGUGAUAAAAUAGACUAGGUAAGUGGUCUAUCUGCCUACAUCUAUAAACCAUAAAUCAUUCUAAAAAUCAAUAUGAACAGAGAGCAUUAGCCAAAACCCUGAUUAAAAAAUCUCAAUAGAAACAUGAAAAAGAUACCCUGCGUCUCAUAAAACGCUUUGGUGGUUCACGGUUCCUGCGGUCAGUGCGCGAGCGAACCCUCACCACAUGCGAGUGAAUUGCACAGGAGACACAGUACUGCAUCUUUGCAUACAACUUAGGCAGAACAUAGUCUGCAUCAAAUAUAAAAGAUUCCCAUUAUUUCCCAUUCAAACAAUACAUAAUUAAUUACAAAAUAAGAGAAAUAAUAACAUGUGUAGUAGAUAUUUACUAUCAUAGAUGCAGGCAUCCUGCACGUCUCUGACAGCAGCUUGCUCAACAAUGUUCCUCACAAGGAACCUCUUGAUGGCCUUGUCCUUUUCAUCCAUUCACAACCCAAAAUUUAAAAAAAAAAAAAAAAAUUGUGUCAAACUACAACAAACAAAAGGCAUAUAAAUUAAUUUUUAAAUGCAAACUUAACAUCAUUAAUUUUUAGUAACUUGGAAGUGAGAAGACGGAAUAAUUAAAUAAUAUUUGUGUUAUAAGAUAUGAUAAAAAUCAGAUGUCUAAUUGUAACUGGUAUUCCUAACCAUCGUGGUAGCGGGGAUGCGCGGAUACCAAUAAACAACUCUAGUCUAGUCUAACUGUAUGAUUUGACCAAUACAUCCGCAAAAUUUAUCAUGACACGAUUUUACAAAAAUAUGGAAGAACUGAAAAAAUGAAUCUUCUUUCCCGUAAUGCCACACAAUUGCCUCAUUUGGCAGGGAAAAAUUCUCAAUGUUGUUCAUUUUUAUCAAAAUAAACAAAAAAAAAAAGGGAAUCAUAUAAUACUAAUAAUAAAAAAACAGAUACAAUUUUAAUUAAUGAAAGCGAUACAAAAAUAAAAACAAAAGUGUAUACUUUGGGGCAGCAUUUGCCGUUCCGACGCUUGAAGGUCUGCCACAGAAAAAAAUAAAUAUAAUAAAUCAAAUUUAUAUUAAACAAAAAAAAAUUCUUCUUUUUUCAAUAAUAAUAUUUUUGGAAAUCAGAAAGAUAAAACAUUUUCGCAAACCAUUCUGUUUUCUUCAAGGGAUGAUCUCCCCUUUCCAAUUUUUGACAACCACGCCUAACCCAAUCAUCAUUUCUUCUGAAGUUGACAUUGCUGCAAGAGUAAAAAAGAAUGUUGAAAUUGAAUUAUUAAUUUGGAAGAAUAUCAUGACGCAAUUAAACAAAAACUGAAUAUUUUAUCUUUCCUACUCUCUCAAUAAUUUUGACUGCAUACUUUUUCUGAAAAAAAAAACAAAAAAAACUCAUAUCUAGAUUCAGUCACAAAGCCAAAUCUCUCUAAUCAUACGUCUAUAUUAAAAAACACAAAUAAGAGAUUCCAAGAACUUGUUAACACCCUUUUGGAAUAAUUGAUUCUAAGGGUGAAAAAAAAAAUUGGUAUUUAAUAGAAUUUUCGUAAUGACAAAAAGUAAAUGGACCCAAGUGAUAAAACAAUAUAAUUGAUGGACAAAAGAUCAUUUUUCAUUUGUGUUGCCGACACCGUAGUUUGGUUUACGCUUCCCGACCCAUGAUAUUCAAGUCCAGUUACCUUUGUCAUCCCAUAAAAUUGUCCAUAAUUAAAAUAAGGCAUGUUUUAUAUUCUGUGGCUAAUAUUUAGAGCAAAUGAAUUUUCCAAGUCCUCCCAUAAAAAUAUCAUAUCCCAACAUAAUCUUCAACCAUUUUAAUGGUUAAAAUUACAAGAGAAGUCGUAUCUAUGUUUUAUCACAAUUGUUUGGCAACCACCAAAUUGGCCGUAUAAAGCCAUUGAUGAAUCAGAAAAAGAUACCAUUGUCGAAAACUUGGCCAUUGUGGUCCCUGAUGUAUAAAACUGACCAUAGGAUUAGCAAAGGUUUGUCAAUGAGCAGAACUUACGUUCACGUCAAGCACACUUAAAUGUUAUCUAUAUACUGUAUAGACAUUGCUCUGAACUAAACUCUUGAUUCAGAGUCCCCGAGUCGGCUGCAAAGGAAUGGCCAUGAAUAAUCUUUCAACAGAAUCGACUGCUGCUGUAGCAAUUUCAGCCUUAGUGAUAUUCCUCUCAAUUUUCCUCUUGAUUUCAAGAAAUGGGCAAAAAAGGACACUCAAGAAUAAGCAAGCUCAACAAGCACCGGUAGCAGGGGGAGCAUGGCCUUUGAUAGGCCACCUACAUCUCUUACGAGGGCCAGAGCCAGCUCACAGAGUUUUGGGCAACCUGGCUGACAAAUAUGGAACAAUAUUCACUAUGAAGUUGGGGGUGAAACAUGCUUUAGUGGUGAGCAACUGGGAAAUUGCUAAGGAGUGUUUUACCACAAAUGACAAAGCUUUUGCAAGUCGCCCCAAAACAAUGGCCGUAGAGCUUAUGGGGUACAACUUUUUGGUCAUAGGCUUCGCACCAUAUGGCAAGUACUGGCGUCAGUCACGUAAGAUAGUGACAAUUGAGCUUCUGUCAAAUUGUCGCCUUGAGAAUCUGAAGUGAAGGCUUCAAUCCAGAGGUUAUACAAGAAUUGCAUAAGUAGCAGCAGUUCACGUAAAGUAGUUUCCGUGGAGAUGAUCCAUUGGCUCGAGGGCACAGUACUUGACAUUAUUUUGAGAAUAAUUGCCGGAAAACGUCACACUUCACAAUCAGAAGAGGCUAAUGAUUGGCAACGGCAAAUAACAAAGAUCGCUGCCUUGUCUGGUCAGUUCGUGGUGUCCGAUGCGUUGCCCUUUCUGAGACGGUUAGAAAUCGGUGGAUAUGAGAGAUUAAUGAGCAUGACAGCUAAAUAUUGCGACAUCAUUUUGCAAGAAUGGGUGGAUGAGCACAAGAUGAAAAGAGUUUCUGGUGAAGUUAAGGGCGACGAGGAUUUCAUAUAUGUGUUGUUGUCCCUACUUGAUGAUAAUGCAGAGCAGCUUCCGGAUUGCGAAGCUGACACUGUCAUUAAAGCAAUCUGCUUGGUAUAAUAUAUCCUUAUGAAAUGCUUGUGGUGUGUUUGUGUUUGCAUUGUAACAUGAAUGUCACAGAUUUCUUAUUGCUUUUAAUUUGCAGACUCUAAUCGUAGCGGCUGCAGAGACCACAGUAGUUACAUUGACAUGGGCUAUUGCUUUACUUCUCAACAAUCCCGAGGUUCUGAAGAAGGCACAAGAUGAAUUAGACAUUCAGGUUGGUACUGAAAGGCCAGUGAAUGAAUCAGACACGAUAAAUUUGGUUUACUUGCAGGCCAUUAUCAAGGAAACGAUGCGUUUAUACCCUGCUGCACCACUAUUAGUACCUCACGAGUCUAUAGAAGAAUGCGUCGUCAAUGGUUACCAUGUCCCCGCAGGCACCCAACUGUUUGUUAACGCUUGGAAGAUUCAACGCGACCCAAGUGUAUGGGAGGAGCCAUGUCAGUUUC